Molecule: non-coding RNA, 46 nt
Organism: Anopheles arabiensis
Lineage: Eukaryota; Metazoa; Arthropoda; Insecta; Diptera; Culicidae
Source: Rfam
UUCAUGGAUCUUUUGAGAUCCAUACAUCUUUUGAAAUGCAUGAUUU